AGUGAACGCUGGCGGUAGGCCUAACACAUGCAAGUCGAACGGCAGCACAGUAAGAGCUUGCUCUUACGGGUGGCGAGUGGCGGACGGGUGAGGAAUACAUCGGAAUCUACUUUUUCGUGGGGGAUAACGUAGGGAAACUUACGCUAAUACCGCAUACGACCUACGGGUGAAAGCAGGGGAUCUUCGGACCUUGCGCGAUUGAAUGAGCCGAUGUCGGAUUAGCUAGUUGGCGGGGUAAAGGCCCACCAAGGCGACGAUCCGUAGCUGGUCUGAGAGGAUGAUCAGCCACACUGGAACUGAGACACGGUCCAGACUCCUACGGGAGGCAGCAGUGGGGAAUAUUGGACAAUGGGCGCAAGCCUGAUCCAGCCAUACCGCGUGGGUGAAGAAGGCCUUCGGGUUGUAAAGCCCUGUUGUUGGGAAAGAAAAGCAGCAGGUUAAGACCCCGCUGUUCUGACGGUACCCAAAGAAGAAGCACCGGCUAACUUCGU
RNAcentral lists this ribosomal RNA (491 nucleotides) under uncultured bacterium. RNAcentral's name for it is "partial 16S ribosomal RNA". It matches the Rfam family "Bacterial small subunit ribosomal RNA", at positions 29 to 506 of the family's 1533-position model. The record is from RNAcentral.